Long non-coding RNA from Amblyraja radiata (thorny skate), 960 nucleotides. RefSeq lists it as uncharacterized. The transcript is spliced from 2 exons. Lineage: Eukaryota; Metazoa; Chordata; Chondrichthyes; Rajiformes; Rajidae. The record is from RefSeq and is a predicted model, not a curated record.
GGCUGCAGGCACUCAGUUCCCAGCCAGGGACCACUUUCCGCAGCCGCUCUUUCUCUUACUUCUUCAUCUCUGUUCCCCUUUAGCUUCGGCAUAACGGUUGCUUCGUUUCAACCAUUAAAUGCUGCCGUGCAUUGUCUCUUUCCUCCGCCGCCCGCCUUGCUCUGUACAUCGCCAGUUCUUGUCCUUGCUUCGUCAAUUGCCCCCUCGUUUCUCUCUCGCUGCCUUUUUUUUCUCCCCUCUCCGUCUGAGCGAUUCUAUUUUGCAAGGCUUCACUUUCCUGCCGCCCCUGUGUGAGCCCUUUCUGAAACAUCUCUUUGCAGGAUUCAAUGCACCGGGGAAAAGUGCACACAAUAACAGUCGGCGCAGUACUCCUACUCUAACUCAACUGAAUGCCUUAAAGUGAGAAACAUUGCCAGUGCACUAUCCAACACAACUCAAUGUUUGUGAUUACUAUAUAAAUCUGACACUAUUGCAGGUUGAUGGAGCACCUCUUGAAUAAAUAGACUACACAUGUAUUACUGUACUACUCAAAUCAACGCGUCGAGUACGAAGAUGAACGUCUAAAGAGAGAAAAGUAGCAUCCUCAAAACGGAUCGUUCGACAGUUAUACAGCGUUUGUCAAAAGAUCAUUCAUUGUGUGCUGCUUGCAGAAGUAGACCGAGGAAAGAACUCUGCUUGUGCGUUUAAUCAUUGUCCUGGAAGGACGGCAACUGGUGUGAAUAUUAAAUAUAAAAAUGUCUUACUUUAUUUUUUUCCUAAUGCAUAAACUUUUUAAUAGGUUUGCUUUUGAAGGUAUUACGUAAAGCUGGUUGCGUUGUCAUUUCUAAUUAUUUAUUGCUUUAUCGCAGCGUAGCCUGGAUAUUUUGGGGUCCCAAAUGCGUGACAUAAAGGCAGUCCAUGCUCUUAUUGUGGGUGUUCUUUGUAUGUCAUUAAAAGGAUUGCGGAGAUUACUGGAAACAA